CUGGUUUCUAGGGUCUCUGUCUCUUGAGUUUCAGGAAGGAGUCCUGGGAUGUAAUUCCUGGCCUGAGUGCUCCGACUCUCUGCUAUUUGAGGCUACUGUGUAAUGAACUGUCUGUUCAUUUCCUUUUAUUUGGAUUUAGCCACAACCAGCAGUGCUCAGUGAGUACUUCUAACUCAGUGCUCAAUUAUUCCUACCAGAUCUCAAGGACCCUAUUGGGUGGCGUGGAUUCAAGUCUGUCUUCGGGGCUGGAGAUAUAGCACAGCGGUUAGGGCGUUUGCCUUGCACAUGUCCAACCCAGGUUCAAUUGCCAGCAUCCCAUAUGGUCCCCGGAGUAGCGCCAGGAGUAAUUCCUACAAAGCCAGGAGUGACCCCUGAGCAUUGCUGGGUGUGACAUAAAAAGCAAAAAAAAAAGGCUCUUCAGUUUUUUUUUCUUUUCAACAUCUUUACAACAACAUUUAGUGAUCAUUAUAUUUUAUGUCAGGAAUGAUUGUGUGCUUUAUAUCUGUUUCAAUUAUAGUACUUGUCUUUGCAAAGUAAUUGUACUUUGAUCUAUGCAACAUUUUUCUUUUAAAUUUUUUUUUCAAUUAGUGAAUCACCGUGAGGAUACAGUUAACAGAUUUACAUAUUUUUAUGCUUUUGUUUCAGUCAUGCAAUGCACAAGUAUCCAUCCCUCCACCAGUACCCAUUCUCCACCACUGAUGAUCCCAGUAUCCCUCCCACCCUCCCACUCCAUACCCCAUCCUGCCUCUGUGGCAUGGUGUUCCCUUUUGUUUUGUGAGAUGAUGGGAGGGUCACAAUGAGUGAUUCUCCUGGGUUACUUUUGGCUCUGCACUCAAUAUUGUAGCUGGCCGUGCUUGCCGGACCAGAUGGGACAGUGGGGAUUGAAAGUCCUGCCCACUGUUUCUGGAUGCACUGUAGUGUAACUCCAUCUGGCGCUUUGUUUUCUAUUGUAUUUGUUGUUAUCCCACAAUGUAUGUGCUCAGGGCCACUGGAGACCUACCAGCACCUGCGGGCCUUCGGUGAGACCAGGCUGGGAGCAGGGCUGGCUUUGUGUUCCCAGAGACAGUGCUUCUGAUGGGCCAGGAUUAUUGACAUCAAUGCUUAUAACUUUCACAUGUUCAUUUCUCUUUUUCUGUUUUUGUUAUUUGGCCACACGUGGCAAUUGUCAGGCUUGCCGCAGGGAUGCAUGGGAUCUACCCAGGUCAGUCCAGAGCAUGGGAAAGCCCCCCACGUGCUGUACUAUCCAUAGGCUUCCUGUGAAUAGUUCCUUCCAUUGCUAAAUGAAUCUACUUCUUGUACGACCACAGGGGCCCAUGGGGGUGCUGUGGACUAAACUGGGUCAGCAACUAUAUGGCAGGUGUUCUAUUGUACCUGACCUGCAGCUUCAUUUGUUAUUAUUUGUUUUCAGUUUUGAUUGUGUUAGGGGCCUACACCCAGCAGUGCUCAGGGAUCACUCUGGCUGUAUAUUCAGGAAUUUCUCGUGGAAAUGCUCCUGGCCCAUAUGGUUGCUAGGGAUCAAACCUCUCUGUGUGUCAUCAGGUGCCCUCCCUGCUGGACUAUCGCUAUGAGCAUGAGUUCAUUUUGUUUUUAGGGACUCACGUCAUCAGUUGCUGUUGUAUUUCAGUGCUUUGAGUCACUUCCUGUGCUUUUUGGGGGGCUUCAACAUAACAAUUUCGGACUGAAAUUAAAACUUGGGACUUCUGUGACUGAUAAAUACCAAUUUGGGGUAUAUCAGAAGUGGAGUUUCUGUUCAAGCUCUUUUUGGAAUUAGUUUGAUCUUGUUUGGGACACAUGGGGUUGUCUUGUCACCAAUAUCAUUUCUCUGUGGGGACAGGGGAUUCUGGGGUGAAGCCUGUGGUGAUCUCCUGGCUUUAAUUAGGAGCCGUGAGGCCGGGGAGAAGAGGCAAGUGUGCAGAAAGGAAAUUGCAGCUUCAGAUGUUUUCACUGCAGCAAUUUGAUUUGGGAAUUGAGUCACCAAAAACGAGUGAGUUGAGAGCCCGGCAACCUACUGAGCGUAUCUCACCCCAACGGCAGAGCCUGGCAAGCUACAUGUGGCACACUCGAUAUGCCAAAAACAGUAACAACAAAUCUCACAAUGGAGAUGUUACUGGUGCCCACUCAAGCAAAUCGAUGAACAAUGGGAUGACAGUGCUACAGUGCUGUUUCUUUCUUGCACUUCGGUGAUGCUCAGGGAACCAUUCGGAAUUCUGAGGUGUGAACCCAGAUUGCCCGCAUGCAAGGUAAGUAAGUGCCCAACCCACUGUACUGCCCCUCUUGCCCAUCCUCUGUAUUUGUUUCUGAAACUGCCUUGAUGUGGUUUCCCUUGUAGGCAGGAGCCCAGGGGUUGGGCUUUUUCCAAAGACUGUGUUCUUCCAGCCUUUUACCCUUUCCAGUGUCUGUCCAGCUCUCUGGGCUGCUGCUAGGCCAGUUCCUCUCUGCAUCUCCAGGGCUGGCUUCAGAGUCACUGCUCUCACCCCAUCUUAAUUCCCCAGCAUCAGGUGACUUGCACCUACCUGCCUGUUUUACUUUCAAUCAACCCACCCGCGUUUUUCCUGGGGGACUGUGAUAGCAUUGGUUGAAUGUUUGACUGACCAGUACAGGAUCAAGGGUCUUCUCCUUCCCCCCGCAGCUCCUCACUCUGUGGCUCACCGCCCCAUCAGCUGCCUCUCCACUCCUUUGUUUAGUCCAUUCCCCUUACACCACCAGUUCACCUGGGUUCUCUAAAUCUUAGCCAUGGCUCUUUAAGGCCCAUGGUAGAAGCAGAAGUGAUGUCACAGAUGGCCCUUCAGGAAUCCUUUCUAAUCUAGCUGCGGUUGCCUGGCUCGGGCCGCCAUUGGUCUUGUGGGUAGAGGAGGAAUUGGUGCUCCGCAGGGCGGCUGUGAAGGCAGACUUUGUGGCAGGACCAAAGUGCUCUCCGGAGUGCCCCGCGCCUCCCCAUGUGUUUGAUAAGUGAAAUAUUGCUUUUCUCCUUCUCUCCUUUUUGCAUAGUUUACUUCAUAGCAAUGUCCUUUCUGUAGUGACACAGGAAGACAGUUAAGUCUAUGCUAUUGGAACUUUGAAGUCCUUUAAAUCCGAUGAAUAUUAACUCCUGGGCAUCUGUUUUCUUGAGACACUAAAGCCUUUGUUGUCCAUAUUUCUUGGCACCUCAAAUGCAGGGUCCUGAUGAGGGACUAGAUGGACCCAGGGCAAACUGUGAGCUACCCUGGCAUGGAAUCAGGAUAGGCCAAGUGCUAUAAUACGGUGCUUAACUAUAAGUUAAGAGCAUUAUAAGUUAAGAGCAUGGACAAAUUCACUUAUGAUCCAAAAGUAACAACUGGAUUAGGAUCCUGCUAGGGUUAGGAAAGACUACAGUGGCCUGAGAACUGUGGUCUCGGAUCUAUACUCUGGGAUCUUUAGCAAGAUGUCCCGAGGACAGCGACCCUACAAGCUUCAUGUAGUUUGUGUCCACACAAAUUGAUGAGAACAAUUAUUUAGAAGUAAAUCUAAAAUAGUUGUGGGACUAAGUAAAGGAGAAACACAACCCUAGGUGGUAUUCUGCCCUUGAGAGGAUCUUCUGGCUGCAGAAGAUCUUUCUCUUAACUUAAACUAUGUUGAUUGUGUGGCCUCACAUGGGUGUAGUUGCUACCAAGGAUGCUUGGAAGGUGGGUUCAAGACCUAGGCUAUAAGACGGAGUGCAGAGAGACUAGUUCGGAGGACAAGAGGAGAUGGGAAUGAGGGUCAGUGUGAGACUGGAAUGGGGAGCUUUGUGAGACUGGAACAAAUACGUGGGGAGAAUGGAAUAAAGAGCAACUGAUCACCAAUCCGCCUGGCGGCCCCGUUCAUUCCUUCAUGUGUCUGUUGUCGGUGGCUGCAGCCCGUGUUGGGGGAAGCAGAUCAUGGCCACCAAAAGCAUGGGGUGGAUGAGAGACCACGCCAUUGCCACCACAUCUCACUCUUAUUUUGUGAACUUACACAACUCACCAGCACACACGCCUCUGUUCCCUGGCCUUAGGACUCCUUCCAGCCAGAACACUGCAGAUUUCACUCUGAAAUGCCCAAAACCCCAAAGACACAUCUACAUAGGCCUGCAUCCAGCAUUCACUACUGUUGUGCAGGAAUGUAUUUGAAAACUGCACAAACAGUAUUUGGAUAAGAAAAUUAUCCUCAUGUCCCGGUGUUUACUAUACAACAGGAUGUGAAAAACUGUCUCACAGUUGGAGCAUCUGCAGUGAGUCUGCUUUUUAAAGAUGAGCAUUAUACUUGGGGCCAAGGUAGUGAUACAGUAGAGAAGGUGCUUGCCUUGCUUUUGGCUGACCCAGGUUUGAUACCCAGCACCCGAGAUGGGUUCCUGACCCUUGGGAGAAAUGAUCACUGAGAUUAGAGAAAGGAGUUAGCCAUGAACACUGCAGGGUGUGGCCCCCAAAUACUGCAACAAAAAAGGUAACUAAUGAAGAAAAAGAAAAGAAACCCAAAAAUAAAUUCAUGUGCAAAAACAGUUUCUACAGUAAAACACUUAAAGAACUGAACAGUGGAUCCUUAAAUUCACUGUGUCUGGACUUAUAUUAUGCUGCAGAAGCCCAUGUUUUAUCCUGAAUACUUAUUCUUUGUUCUCUACUCUCACAUCCUCUGUGUGUCUUUGGUUUGGGGCAAAAACCAACAGUAUUCAGGGAUUAUUCCUACUCUGGGAUGAGGUAGUCUUGGUGGGGUUUGGGGAAAAGAUAAGAUGCCACAGAUAGAAUCUGGGUUGGUCGCUAGCAAGGCAAGUACCAUACUUGCUAUAUUCUGGCCCUUUUUAAAUAAAUUAUUUCCAGCACACCAGGAGUGAGCCCUAGGCAAAGGUUCUAUUCACUCCGGACCCCCAUAAAAAAUUAAUUUCUUUCUUCAAAUAUCUUAUUUACCAGCACUACUCAAAACAACACUGUGGGUAGCCUGCUAAGGGAAAGAUGAAACAAGGGGGGUGCUUUGCUCUGUGACUUUAAGAAGCACAUAGUCCUACACAUUCUUUUUGCCCUUUUUGGGUCACACUUGAUGGAUGCUUAGGAUUUCCUCCUGGCUCUGCACUCAGAAAUUACUACUGCACCAAGCUCCACAUCCUCGGCAGAACACACAAACCCAAGGUCUGACAUACUUAAAAAAAAAACCUUAACCACAGUACUCACCCCAAUAGCCUGGGUCGCCUGAUCACAGUGAGAUGAGAA
Long non-coding RNA from Sorex araneus (European shrew), 5177 nucleotides. RefSeq lists it as uncharacterized. The record is from RefSeq and is a predicted model, not a curated record. The transcript is spliced from 3 exons. Lineage: Eukaryota; Metazoa; Chordata; Mammalia; Eulipotyphla; Soricidae.